CAAGUCGAACGGUAACAGGGUAGCAAUACCGCUGACGAGUGGCGCACGGGUGCGUAACGCGUAUGCAAUCUACCUUUAACAGGGGAAUAGCUCAGAGAAAUCUGAAUUAAUACCGCAUAAUAUAGUGAGUGGGCAUCCACUUACUAUCAAACCUUCGGGGGUUAAAGAUGAGCAUGCGUAUCAUUAGCUAGUUGGUGAGGUAACGGCUCACCAAGGCUACGAUGAUUAGGGGGUCUGAGAGGAUGAUCCCCCACACUGGUACUGAGACACGGACCAGACUCCUACGGGAGGCAGCAGUAAGGAAUAUUGGUCAAUGGACGAAAGUCUGAACCAGCCAUGCCGCGUGCAGGAUUAAGGCCCUAUGGGUCGUAAACUGCUUUUAUACGGGACAAAACCCCCCUACGUGUAGGGGGCUGAUGGUACUGUAAGAAUAAGGAUCGGCUAACUUCGUGCCAGCAGCCGCGGUAAUACGAAGGAUUCGAGCGUUAUCCGGAUUUAUUGGGUUUAAAGGGUGCGUAGGCGGACUGAUAAGACAGUGGUGAAAGCCUGUUGCUUAACAACAGAACUGCCAUUGAUACUGCCAGUCUUGAGUACAGUUGAGGUAGGCGGAAUGUGUCAUGUAGUGGUGAAAUACUUAGAUAUGACACAGAACACCGAUUGCGAAGGCAGCUUGCUAAACUGUAACUGACGCUGAGGCACGAAAGCAUGGGGAGCAAACAGGAUUAGAUACCCUGGUAGUCCAUGCCCUAAACGAUGAUUACUCGAUGUGUGCGAUACACAGUACGCGUCUAAGCGAAAGCAUUAAGUAAUCCACCUGGGAAGUACGACCGCAAGGUUGAAACUCAAAGGAAUUGACGGGGGCCCGCACAAGCGGAGGAGCAUGUGGUUUAAUUCGAUGAUACGC
This 904-nucleotide ribosomal RNA is filed under the name uncultured Bacteroidota bacterium. RNAcentral's name for it is "bacterial SSU rRNA". It matches the Rfam family "Bacterial small subunit ribosomal RNA", at positions 58 to 962 of the family's 1533-position model. Lineage: Bacteria; Pseudomonadati; Bacteroidota. The record is from RNAcentral.